Molecule: unclassified non-coding RNA, 239 nt
Filed under: uncultured fungus
Lineage: Eukaryota; Fungi
Description: sequence contains ITS2
Source: RNAcentral
AACGCACAUUGCGCCCUUUGGCAUUCCGAAGGGCAUGCCCGUUCGAGCGUCAUUACACCACUCAAGCCUGGCUUGGUAUUGGGCAUUAUCUUCACUGAUAGGCCUUCAAUUCUUCGGCUGGACGGUACGAAUCUCAGCGUUGUGGUUUAAUCAAAUCGCUGGCGAGGAGGACCGGACGUCGCCGUAAAACUUCAUUACAGGUUGACCUCGGAUCGGGUAGGGAUACCCGCUGAACUUAA